AUGUAGGCAAGUAGAAUAGAUUUGAUUCGGGACAUUUUUGAAUGAUACUCUAAUAGCAAAGUUAUAUUGAAAUAGCUAUUUUAAAUAAGGUGUGUUUUUAUGCCAAAAGUGGUGAUGAUACAAGGAUGCUUAUUUUUUCUUUUCUUUUUAAAAAAAAAAAAAAAAAAAAAAAAAAAAAUACAAUACUAAGAGAUGUUGUAUGUACAUAAAUUGAAAGUUGUGGAAGCAAUUGGUAUGCAUAUUAUUUAGCAACAAAAAGAUAAACUAAGAUUAAAAUUAAAAUAUAUAAAGUGGCAAUUAUUAAGAACUCACAUCUAAGAAAAGAACUGGUGAUGUUAAUCAUUGAAGAAUAAGAUUACUCAUCUUAUUCUAAUUAUAUCAAGAGCACAAAGGAAGGUACAAAAAAGAGACAAUUAGGAUUGGUCAUGUGAAUUAGAGAUAUCACAACCUAUAGAGAUCAACUUUUCAAUAAUAUGAUAUGAAGCAAUAGCAUGAAUAUGAAGAUGUAAAUAGAGACUUAUGAUAGUCCAAUAUUUGGAGUUACUAGUAGAGAGAGAUGGUAGAAGAAAUACUUGUUAGCACGCAACAAAUUUCUUGGAAUUGCUAGCAGAUUGGUUGAUAGCAAGGAUGAAUUAAAGAACAUAUAGACUUUUAGGAAUUUGAGAGAAAACAGCGACUACCAAAUAGAGGCUUGAAGAUUUAAUAUUGCUUAUAUACAUGAGAUUAAUUAAACUUAAAGAAAUAUUGGAAACAAUAGUCUCAAAUAAAUAGAGAUUAUUUAUAAAAAAAAUAAUGAAUCAAUAUUGUAUCAUCAGGAUUAAAUAAGCAAUACUUUUGAUUUUUAAUGAAUAAUCUUCUUCUAUACUCAUCAUUUUUCUUGUAAAAAAUAAGUUUUUGAAAAGAUCUGGUACAUAGAAGGUGUUUUUAAGUUGGAAGACAUGUCUAUUUAUUAAUCGUAUUUCAAUUGUGCUUUUAUCGCAAAUUGAUAAUGUUGUAUUAUUUCCAAGUUGCACUUUAUUGUCAUGAUGAGAAAAUAAUUCAAAGUCAAUAAAAUGAUGCCUUAUAUGUAAUAAAUGGUCAAUACUUCUUAUAUCAAUAAAUCAAUGAUUGCUUUUAUUUUCACCAAUUUUGGAAGUUCUUUUCAAGCAAUAAGUUUAAGUAUAAUAGAGAUUUGCAUAAAAGAAAGAAAGGAAUUUUAACAUCUUUUGCUCUUUUAUUUGAUUUUGAUUUUUUGGAUGGAUGUUGUAUUACAUCAAUAUUUACAGCAAUUUUUUUUUUUUUUUUUUUUUUUUUAAACGUUCAAAGCUCAAAUGCCUAUUUUUGUGUAAUGAUGAAUGAAGUUGUUGGUUUAAUCUUAACUUUUAUAAAUUUGAAGUUUUUUUUAUUAUUUUUGUUAUAGGAUAGAAUUGCAACUUGCUUUUUACUCUAUAUCCUACAAAGAAAGUUUGAAUUUUUGAAGAUGAGCCUUUCAUGAAUGUUUCUUCUUGGAAAAGAAUUGAAAUAAAUAUUGGAAGUGUGGAAAUUCUAGUUUUCCACAAUAUUUAUAUGUUAGUAGUAUAUCGAGAUGGCAUAGAUCUUAUUAAGGUGAGUAUUUCCAUUUGUAUUAGAAUUAUCACUCUAGUGGAGUGACAUUGUUGGAAAAGUGUUUUGAAAUUAUUCAAAUGUUGAGUGAUGGAUUUACUUGCUUGUAUUUUUUAUGUUAUAAACUUUUCUAAUAAGUGUGCUUAAGUGAUUAUAUUACUUAUUGAAUAUAUAUUUUCAAUAGCUAACUAUACUUCAUUUGCAGAUUUGCAUGCUCCAAUAUAGAAAAAGAUGGUUUUGUUUCCACAAUUCCAAAUGGUCGCAAGAGCAAUUUGAUCUUUUUCUAUGUAAGUAUUAUUGCUUGAUUUGUUGGAAUUGACUCUAUUAUAGCAUUUGUUUCUUGAAGUGUUGUUGAUUCUUUGCCUUUGCCAUACAUAAUUUUCCAUAUGUCUUUAAUUUUAAAUUUCAUUUGUAUCUUUUGUCUCCAAACUAUAUACCAAGUGCUAUCAAAUUUUGGCCAAUUCUUGAUUGUAAGACUACUUGCAGCCAUGUUUUGCAAGAAAAAAGGACUAUUAGUGCCCAAAUUUUUGUGAAGAACGUCUUCAAUACAACCUCUUUUCUAUUUUUAAUAAGCAUAUUUAUUUUUUUUGGAAUUUCCAUAAAAACAAUUCUCAAAAAGCAAGCUCUAAUUCCAUAUUGGAACUUAGGUAUAUAGGAUUUGUAAAUGUGACUUAAGUUCUAUUCAAGUAAAUAAAAGUAUAUAUU
RNAcentral lists this long non-coding RNA (2286 nucleotides) under Physcomitrium patens. RNAcentral's name for it is "long non-coding RNA (PPAT_LNC005446)". Lineage: Eukaryota; Viridiplantae; Streptophyta; Bryopsida; Funariales; Funariaceae. The record is from RNAcentral.